UGGAGGAUGGCUCAGUCAGUAGAGCAUGAGACUCUUAAUCACAGGGACAUGGGUUCAAGACCCAGAUUGGGCAAAA
Molecule: non-coding RNA, 76 nt
Organism: Podarcis lilfordi (Lilford's wall lizard)
Lineage: Eukaryota; Metazoa; Chordata; Lepidosauria; Squamata; Lacertidae
Source: the annotation of a GenBank genome assembly